This 465-nucleotide ribosomal RNA is filed under the name uncultured Klebsiella sp. Its description in RNAcentral is "bacterial SSU rRNA". It matches the Rfam family "Bacterial small subunit ribosomal RNA", at positions 338 to 795 of the family's 1533-position model. The record is from RNAcentral. Lineage: Bacteria; Pseudomonadati; Pseudomonadota; Gammaproteobacteria; Enterobacterales; Enterobacteriaceae.
CCUACGGGUGGCUGCAGUGGGGAAUAUUGCACAAUGGGCGCAAGCCUGAUGCAGCCAUGCCGCGUGUGUGAAGAAGGCCUUCGGGUUGUAAAGCACUUUCAGCGGGGAGGAAGGCGUUAAGGUUAAUAACCUUGGCGAUUGACGUUACCCGCAGAAGAAGCACCGGCUAACUCCGUGCCAGCAGCCGCGGUAAUACGGAGGGUGCAAGCGUUAAUCGGAAUUACUGGGCGUAAAGCGCACGCAGGCGGUCUGUCAAGUCGGAUGUGAAAUCCCCGGGCUCAACCUGGGAACUGCAUUCGAAACUGGCAGGCUAGAGUCUUGUAGAGGGGGGUAGAAUUCCAGGUGUAGCGGUGAAAUGCGUAGAGAUCUGGAGGAAUACCGGUGGCGAAGGCGGCCCCCUGGACAAAGACUAACGCUCAGGUGCGAAAGCGUGGGGAGCAAACAGGAUUAGAUACCCCAGUAGUC